CCCAAGAGUGCGGCGCCAGCGUGCCCCGCUGGACACCUCCAUUAGAGGGAGGUCACGGCGUGUACAAAGGCGCGAAGGACGGCCCCACGCGCUCACAUCCUUCCCAGCUCCGUUUCGAAGAACCAACCAAGGAACCCCAGCCUCCCGCGCAGAUCGUACAGACGCUGCUGAGACCUCCCCCACGACACGCUAGGAACGCGACGCCGAAAGUCCCGCCCCUUCCGCUGUCCGCCGUCCCGGAACGCGGCACUCUGGGUUCCAACAGUGUCUCACAAGCAUUGGAUUGAACAGUGCGUGUUUCACCUCAGAGGAGGUAGGAAACCUUCCUGGGUUCUCUACUCGACUCCAAGGAGAGGCCAGCACACAUGCUGCUCUUCGCGGCAACUUCUUCAGCCAGCUUUGUCACUGCCCACCUGGCCCUGCGCUGCCCCCUGCCCUGCCAUUGCCUACCAGCAUUCCCCCAUCUUGCCUGGAUCACCCCACCAGUCCCUGCGCCUCACCUCAGCCCUGUUUGCAGGCUCCUCCACUGCAAUUUCGGGUCUUCACCCCUCAGUGUUAGAUGCCCCUAAGAAGCAUGUCUGAUCCUUCAGGCUCUGUCCUCCACUCUGGGGUCCUUACCUCCGCCUCUUGGAGGGGCUCUCAGAUAAAGGCAGUGCUGUCUGCUUGUAUCUCCAAUAUGUUGGUCCCCUCAGGAAAGAUAGAGAUUCUUCCUUAGGGUGCAAAUACUCCCCUCUGUUUGCCACCUGAGUAGGCAGGCACCUCUGUGACAUCUUUGCUCACAGUCACCCUCCCAGACCCUUCUCCUAAGGAGACUGACGUGAGAGCCCUAGGAAAGGGGAGGACAGGGCGAGAUAUGCCCUGCAAAGCCUCCAGUCUCCACCAGGUCCCCUGCCCCUCUUCAACUGCUCAUCUUCCCUUUAGCCCAUGAGCUUCCUUUCAGCCAUUUUGGGGCCCCUGAUGGUCAGCAAUAGGGAACCAGUUUCCCCAGUGCCCUGUCUUUGCUGUCUUAUGCAUCCCUGAUUCUGCAGUCUCCUUCCACUCCAGCAGCUAGCAGCUUUGCCGUCUGGGCAUCCAAGCCUGCCUUUGACUCUGAUGAAAUUUAUAUGGCUACCACACCCAUUUCCUAGUCUGUCAUCUUCCAGCCUCCUCCUGUCUCCAAUAAGAACUUUUUCACAAUUUACCCAGUGCUUCCUGGUUCUGAGAACACAUUGCUCAGUGACAGCAUAGCCUUAGAACCAGGACCCCCAGCUUGCCUGCACAGUAUGUCAGCAUCCCACUCCAAACCUCAGCCUUCCCUUUACCCAGGAGCCCCAUAUCAAUCUACAUCUGGGAAAAAAUUAAUCCCAACCCUUACCUGGUGCCAUUCAUAGAAGUUAUCUUGCAAUGGCUCUAGACAUUAAUGUAAAAGCUAAAAUUGUAAAACUUUUAGAAGAAAAUGUAGGACAAAAUUUUCACGACCUUGAGUAGGAAAAGCUUUCUUAGAUAGAACAUAAAAAGCAUGAACCAUUAACAGAAAAAAAAUAAUAAAUUGGACCUCAUAAAAAUUAAACACUUCAGAUCUUCACGAGAUUCCGC
Equus asinus (donkey) is the source of this 1575-nucleotide long non-coding RNA. The record is from Ensembl. Lineage: Eukaryota; Metazoa; Chordata; Mammalia; Perissodactyla; Equidae.